GACGAACGCUGGCGGCGUGCUUAACACAUGCAAGUCGGACGGUAAGGCCCCUCGGGGUACACGAGUGGCGAACGGGUGAGUAACACGUGGGUGAUCUGCCCUGCACUUCGGGAUAAGCCUGGGAAACUGGGUCUAAUACCGGAUAGGACUCCGGACUGCAUGGUCUGGGGUGGAAAGCUCUUGCGGUGUGGGAUGGGCCCGCGGCCUAUCAGCUUGUUGGUGGGGUGAUGGCCUACCAAGGCGACGACGGGUAGCCGGCCUGAGAGGGUGACCGGCCACACUGGGACUGAGAUACGGCCCAGACUCCUACGGGAGGCAGCAGUGGGGAAUAUUGCACAAUGGGCGCAAGCCUGAUGCAGCGACGCCGCGUGAGGGAUGACGGCCUUCGGGUUGUAAACCUCUUUCAGCAUCGACGAAGCGAGAGUGACGGUAGGUGCAGAAGAAGGACCGGCCAACUACGUGCCAGCCGCCGCCGUAA
This 478-nucleotide ribosomal RNA is filed under the name uncultured bacterium. RNAcentral describes it as "partial 16S ribosomal RNA". It matches the Rfam family "Bacterial small subunit ribosomal RNA", at positions 28 to 523 of the family's 1533-position model. The record is from RNAcentral.